Molecule: long non-coding RNA, 771 nt
Organism: Phragmites australis (common reed)
Lineage: Eukaryota; Viridiplantae; Streptophyta; Magnoliopsida; Poales; Poaceae
Exons: 4
Source: RefSeq, a predicted model, not a curated record
AUUGGGUCAGUUUCUGGGCCGGAGCUGCGAGAAACCGCCGUCCCCUCUGCCUGCCCAGGCCGUCGGCGUCUCGGAGACUCCAACCCAGGCCGCGCCGGCGCCACCGCUCUCCCCGGCGUAUGGCACUGUUGCAGCCGAAGCCGUUGUUGAAUAGGCCAAGAUCACAAACGAUAUCUUCGAGCUGAUGAGGUAAGGUGGAUCCCUUUUGCCUUUUUCUGCAGUCCUUAAUAAUAUAUGCAGGCGUACUUCUGCAUGUAUUUGAGCCUAACCAAAACACUACUACUACGACUCUUGCAUUGCAUGGUAAUUUUCUUGUGUGUGAUUUUGAUGCAUGGAUGAGUAAUCCUCACUAUCUCCUUUGAGGAAUGGAUCGAAACCUUCUUCCCUGAAAAGGAAUUAAUAGAGUGAACCCAAGCAAGGAUCAAUCGUACUAUACACUACUCUGGUCCAAAUAUCUCACUUGUUUCGAUCAGCUUGUAGCAGUACAGUAGAUCUCUGAUGGGACAUCGUUCAGCAGAGCCGUUACUCCGUAUGCAUGGCAUGUGUUUGUGGGGGACUAACUCUGGUGCCUGUGGGGGACAUUGGUCAUGUCAGCAGUUGAUGAGAGUCCCUGCCAGUUCUUGGAGCGUCGUUGUUGUUGCUACUGCUGCUGUGGGCUACUCUCCCUAGCGAUAUAUAUGGCUUCUCUCACCAUCGGCUGGCCGUCGCCACUUUCCAGCAGGAUCAAUCGUCCUAAGGCUAUAGUUAACGGUUUUUCUUCGGAGAUGAGUU